This is a long non-coding RNA of Onychostruthus taczanowskii (white-rumped snowfinch), 439 nucleotides long. RefSeq lists it as uncharacterized. The transcript has 3 exons. The record is from RefSeq and is a predicted model, not a curated record. Lineage: Eukaryota; Metazoa; Chordata; Aves; Passeriformes; Passeridae.
GUGCUGGCAUCCAGCUGAGGGAGGUGUUGCCCUCUCCAGUGACCAGCCGUGCCCUGGGGAGCCAGGCAGCAAAAUUGGGUAACACAUCUGAGCCACAGGAGGCUUCAGAGGGAACGCGACAUUCACAGCCAGAGACAGCCCAGUGGAGUCACAGCUCCGAGGGAUCUCAUUGUGCCUGCUGCAAUGUUCUUCAUGGCCGGGCAGGACCUCACAGGCAAAGAGAAGAGACAUAAUUUAGCAACUGCUUGAAGAAAGUCCUGGUUGCAUGUAUCAUGUGACAAGUCAAGCUGAAUGCCAGGGGAGACACUCCAGAUGGACUCAGUCUGGCACUUGUGACUCUGGAGAAAAACAGCUGAGGUCAAAUCUUAAUGCUACUGAAUCUGAGGUGUGAUUUGUUUCAGUUCACUGAUAGCAUUUCUCCUAUUUUUUUCUUGGUGUA